This 222-nucleotide ribosomal RNA is filed under the name Huonia oreophila. RNAcentral describes it as "partial 28S ribosomal RNA". It matches the Rfam family "Eukaryotic large subunit ribosomal RNA", at positions 646 to 834 of the family's 3401-position model. Lineage: Eukaryota; Metazoa; Arthropoda; Insecta; Odonata; Libellulidae. The record is from RNAcentral.
UACCCGUCUUGAAACACGGACCAAGGAGUCUAACAUGCGCGCGAGUCGUUGGGUCGGACACGCUCCGCUAAACCCAUAGGCGCAAUGAAAGUGAAGGUCGCCCUAGCGGGACCGAGGGAGGACGGAGGCUAGCCUCCCGCACUCCCGGGGCGUCUGAUUCCUCUUUUUGAGGGAAGGCGCACCCAGAGCGCACACGUUGGGACCCGAAAGAUGGUGAACUAU